UCUGGUAGCGAUAGCGAGAAGGUCACACCUGUUCCCAUCCCGAACACAGAAGUUAAGCUUCUCAGCGCCGAUGGUAGUUGGGGCUUUGCCCCUGCAAGAGUAGGACGUCGCCAGGC
Molecule: ribosomal RNA, 116 nt
Organism: Ornithinibacillus halophilus
Lineage: Bacteria; Bacillati; Bacillota; Bacilli; Caryophanales; Bacillaceae
Source: Rfam